This 1530-nucleotide ribosomal RNA is filed under the name Triticum aestivum (bread wheat). Its description in RNAcentral is "partial small subunit ribosomal RNA". Lineage: Eukaryota; Viridiplantae; Streptophyta; Magnoliopsida; Poales; Poaceae. The record is from RNAcentral.
AUGGCCGCGAUGAUGGGGAUUUCCGCUUUGCGCUCCCACCACCCGCUCCCCCUGUCGACCGCGCGCCCGGCCACGGCUCUCCCCCGCGCCACGUCGCCGACGUCGCACCAACCCAGCUCGCUCGCGCUUCUACGAUGCCGAUGCCGAUGCCGACGCAGCCUCCCCCAUUCUUGCUGCAGCUCCUCUCCUCGCGCCUCACUCUCGCCAGGCGCCCCCGACUCGGCUGCUUUCAUGGCAUUGGCUCCCAACAAUGCCGCCCUUCGCCACCGCCUCAUCGCCCCCAACUCCACCGCCGGCUCCGGAGAUGCCGCCGCCACCGGAGGCCUGCCCAGCGUUGUUGGCAUCGCGCACCUGGCGGUGUCGCUGGGCAUCGUGCUGGCCACGGACAAGUACCUGAAGCAGGCGUUCGUGGCGGCGUCCAUCAAGUUCCCCAGCGCCCUCUUCGGCAUGUUCUGCAUCUUCUCCGUGCUCCUCGUCCUCGACACCGUCGCGCCGGCGCUGGCCAAGGCCUUCAUGGACUUCUUCGAGCCCGCCACGCUCUUCAUCCAGCGCUGGCUGCCGCUCUUCUACGUCCCCUCCCUCGUCGUCCUGCCCCUCGCCGUCAGGGACGUCCCGGCCGCCUCCGGCCUCAAGAUCUGCCUCAUCACAUUCGGUGGCUGGUUCGCUUCGCUGGCGGUGGCGGGGUACACGGCGCUCACCGUGAGGAAGAUCGUCAAGACGGAGCUCAUCGCGGCCGAGCCGAUGGGCAAGCCGUCCGCCUUCGCGACGUUGGAGUUCUGGGCGUGGGGCGCCGUCUUCGUCGCCUCGUUCGCGACGGCGUUCGUGAACCCCACGGCGCUUGGCACCACGGCCAGGACGUGCCUCCCGUUCAUGCUCGCUUCCACUGUACUGGGAUACAUGGUUGGUUCUGGGUUACCGUCUGGUAUCAAGAAAUUGUUACACCCGAUCAUCUGCUGCGCGCUUUCUGCAAAUUUGUCGGCGGUCGCAUACGGGUACCUCUCCGGGUCCGGAAUCGAUGCUGCGCUAGGUGAUUACCUGACAAAGGUGCCAUCAAAUCCUGGAGCUGGUGACGUGCUGAUGGGUUUUCUGGGGUCUGUCAUCUUAUCAUUUGCCUUCUCAAUGUUCAAGCAGAGAAAGCUUGUGAAAAGGCACGCGGCAGAAAUUUUCACGUCGAUCGCGAUUGCGUCGACAUUCUCCCUGUACUCCACGGCCAUCCUAGGACGCCUGAGCAUAGUGUCUUUCUUCGAAGGCGCAAACACUUCGCUGACGGCUGCCGUGGUUGUUCUGACGGGCCUGAUCGGCGCCAACUUUGUGCAAGCGGCCAUGGAUAAGCUUGGCCUCAACGACCCCAUAGCUAGAGGGAUCGGAACAGCUUCCAGUGCUCAUGGGCUGGGAACCGCGGCGCUGUCGGCCAAGGAGCCUGAGGCGCUCCCUUUCUGCGCGAUCGCCUACGCGCUCACCGGCAUUUUCGGCUCACUGAUCUGCUCCUCCCCGGCAGUCAGGCAAAGCCUGGUGUUCAUAGCCGGCUGA